UACGUAGGGUGCAAGCGUUGUCCGGAAUUAUUGGGCGUAAAGAGCUCGUAGGCGGUCUGUUACGUCGGCUGUGAAAACCUGGGGCUCAACCCCGGGCCUGCAGCCGAUACGGGCAGACUAGAAUUCGGUAGGGGAGACUGGAAUUCCUGGUGUAGCGGUGAAAUGCGUAGAUAUCAUUUGGAACGCCAACGGCGAAAGCAGGCAACUGGGGAUGCACCGACGCUGAGACACGAAAGCCAGGGGAGCGAACGGG
RNAcentral lists this ribosomal RNA (253 nucleotides) under uncultured bacterium. RNAcentral's name for it is "partial 16S ribosomal RNA". It matches the Rfam family "Bacterial small subunit ribosomal RNA", at positions 524 to 776 of the family's 1533-position model. The record is from RNAcentral.